RNAcentral lists this unclassified non-coding RNA (8537 nucleotides) under Leishmania donovani. RNAcentral describes it as "gene:LdHU3.18.1070(CDS-product:hypothetical_prote in_conserved)". The record is from RNAcentral. Lineage: Eukaryota; Euglenozoa; Kinetoplastea; Trypanosomatida; Trypanosomatidae.
UGUUUUGGGCUCCUUAUCCAUCUCAACGAUUCUUGAAAGUAGAAGCGCAAAACGGUCGAGCUGCACAACUCACUCGCCAUAUCGUUCUCGCUGUCUUCACUUCGGGAGAAAGGAGACGUGUGUGUGCGUGUGCCUGUGGACGACCACCUUCAUCGCUGCCGCCAUCCGCCGCUAUCGUGGUGGCGCACACACACUGCGUGCCCCUGUGCCUCUACGUGCCUUCGUUUCUCCACUUCUCACCCACCCACACUCCCACACGCACGCACACACCGCGGGUCGGUUCCGUCGGCCGUGCGCCAGUGAACGCGCGAAGAGGUGUACAAGCCCUUUGUACACUGGGUGCCUUGCUUGUCGCUGUGAUGGAGCUCGCGCAGGUCGUACACGCGCUACAGCGGGCCGCCACGGUGCCGCUGGCGGUGGACGUGCUGCUCCAGUACAACAACCCUCUCUCUGAAAAGGAGGCGACGCAGUUGCGCAAGUUCCGGCACCUGCAACGCGAGCAGCUCGAGGGAGGCCUAAAGGUCGAGGAGCCGUCCGAAGAGAUCGUGGAACUGUCACACCGCCCUGGCAAGGGCCUCCACCCGCUGCAGGUUGUGCAGUGUGUACUAAGCGCGGCGCGGCUUCCGUGCGUACGGCCGGAUCAGCAACGCCGGCUUCGCAAGGAGGUGCUGCCGCGGGUCUCUGAGACGACCCCGCUUUCGUUUGUGGAGUGGUGUACCGCCGUUCAGGUAGCGCUCCACACAUGCCUCCAGUGCUUCGACAACUCGCCCGCAGCGCUGCUGUGCGUCGAGGAGGUGCUGCGGCUGGCGGCCCCUGUGCUACUGCACGCACCCUCGCCCCCGCCGCUCUUCGCCGACACCGUGCAGCGCGCCUCGUGGCGCAAGCGCAGCGCAGCGCAGCAGCAGCCGCGCAAGGACACAACCGUGCCGCGGCUGAAGCAGUUCACGGACGACGAGGGGCUGCAGCUCUUCCUGAGGGCGCUUGCAGCUCUCGUGCAGCGCCGCGCCACCCUCCACGCGCGAAAGAAAAAGCACACGCUGAAGCAGCACCCCACCACCGAUGAGGCCUUCUUCACCUACGCCCCCAUUCGCCAUCUGCGGCAGCUCAUGCAGAAGAACGCGAGUCACAACAUGGACGCGGUGUGCAAAGCCGUCAAGUCCCUGGCGCCGGCAGAGAUGAUCGCCCUCACGCCCGUCUUCCAGGGUGGGGCAAUGCAGCUCUCGCUCACCAAGGAUCAGCUCAGCUCCGCGGUCAAGGCGCAGCCCCUCGUCGCAUAUCACGUCCUCGGUGCGCAGCGUCCUGUGGCAGGCACGCUGAAGCUAGAAAACAUCGAUGUGACAUUGCAGUUCGUGCUGUACACGAUGGGUCUGGCGAACACCCCACGCGACGCCUUCUUGGGCUACGUUGCUGUGCUCGCCUCUGCGCCAACAGCAGACCUCGCCGCCUACAUGAAGGCGAAGGGCAAGGACACCCUCGCCCAGUGGAUCACCCCCUUCAUUGUGAACGCCGACACACUGCUCCCCGAUGUCGAGCGCGUCAGCCCCGUCUACGCGCGGCUGAUGCAGCAGCUCUGCGCCGCCGCACCGGAGAUGCUGACGGUGCUGCAGCAUACGAUCGUGUACGCCGUCGGCACUCGCUGCCGCACCCCACGUGAGAAAGAGGUGGCGAUGCGGCUGCUGUGUGACAUGCUGGAGGCGCUGCCUAGCGAGGUGCGCGCGCAGCUGGAGCCGACGGCUGACGUCGUGUCCACGCUGAGCAGGGAGGUGGCCAUGCCGGCGGUGGAGUCGGCCGCGCAGGCCUUCCGACUCACCUCGGCGCUGCGGCUGGAGGCGGCAAUGGAGGACGGGCUGAUGGGUGCGCUGAAGAACAGCCGCAAGGAGGCGGCGAUCCGCCGCGCCAUGCUCGUCCACCUCGACGUGCAUCGUACGCCGGCCGCCGUGGUGGAUGGCCUGCUCACGGAUCUGAUGAAGGACUGCGAGGAGGUGGUGGUGGUGCGUCCUGACGCGUACCUCGCCCUCCCCUUCGCCCUGGCGCGUGGCGACGUGGCCACGAUUGCGAAGGUGCACCCGCUGCUCAGCACCGCGGAGGUGCUGCGCCAGCUGGACGGAAACGUAUACGAGCAGACCCGCGCCGCGCAGGUGGCGAUGGAGCUGGCGAACAGCGGCUACGGUGUCUCGCUAAUACAGCUGCUGACGAGCUGCCGCGGGCUGGUGCGCCGCCCGCUGCUGGAGUAUGUCAAGUCCGUCGCCUCCGAUGCGUCGCGUGCGACGUCUCUGUGGAGCUGCCUGACGCAGCACGUCUUUGGGCUCGAGUCGGCGGGCUCGCCUCCCAUGAUUGUCGGCGAGACGGCGGCGCCGGCGCUCGUCGCGGUCGGCACAGCGCUGCUGCAGCACACCUCGAGCCUCUCCCUGUCCUCGACUUUCAGCGAGCUUCUGCUGUGUGCAGGUCACGAUAACGUGCAGGGCGCCGACCCGUACUUCUACAAGGCUUCCAGUUGCCUGUCGCGCCGGUACCACAGCGCCAGCCGCGCCGUGCUCGAGCGCCCGUUGCGUCAGACGCUCGCCUGCGGUGAGGGUCUGGAGCGCAUGCUCUCCCAGCAGGCAAAGGCCAUUGUGCGGCAUCUCGUCGAGGCAAUGGGCAAGGGCGUGGAGCACCAGUCUAUCGCCGCAUGCCGUGCGCUGGUUUUGCUGCUCACGCAGACGAGUGCCGCGGCCUCGCGUGACGUCUUCGGCGCCAUCGCAGAGGCGGUUCAGGCGUCGAAGGAGUGGUUCAUGGCGCUGUCCGCCGAGGAUGCGGCGAUCGCCGCCGAGGACAUCGAGUUCAUGGACGCGUACGAGAAUGUCACGCUGCGCGAGCAGCAGCUGUUGAAGGUCUACCCGGACCGCCCGCCCAAGGGGAUGUCCGAGGACGACUUCAUCGACAUGAAGAAGAAGGACGCAGCAGCGCUGGCGAAGGGGCGAGAGGCGCUGCGCGCCGCCGUGGAGAAGCGCAGCUGCGUCAUCAUGCCAGCCGUUCACCAGCACAAGUCCGUCUACCUCGCUCUUCGCUUGCUCGGCACGCACGGUCACUUCGACUUGGAGGCGCUGCCUAUCCUGUACGAGCCGCUCCAGGCAACAGUGACAGAUCUGCAUGUGCAAGGCAAGGCAACGCACGUGCUGGCGGUGCUGGCGACGGACGCGCUGACAGGCUUGCUGGCCCACACACCGUUCAGGUACAUGGCCGAGAACAUGGUGCGUACGGUCGCACGCCUCACACCGCCGAAGACGCUUGCGGCAGAAGAUGUCAGCCAGGUGUCGGCGAUGGCGCAUGCGCUGCGCCAGUCCCUCACUCAGAUGCUGCCGGCGCCGCUGUUCGUCGUUCUGAUGGCCUUCGCGCGCAUCGCGUUUAAGGCUGGCCGCGGCGCCAACGCCGUCUCGACGACGAUCCCGGUUGCCACGCAGCACCAGGUGCUCGGGAUGCUCAUGCAGAACCUCGGGCAGGUGAACCUGCCUGACCCAACAGCGGCGAUGGAGUUGCUUACGAGCAUCCUGCAGAGCUUCCCGUCACUGUACAAGAGUGUGCAGCAGGGCUUCUACACGCUCAUGUCGAUGGUGCCUGGCGAGCGGCUGGCGGCAGUGGAGGCGGGGCUGUUCAACACAGUCGACUCCGUGCGCGACGUGACGGCGGCGGCCUUCAACCGCUUUACCCACUUCGACACGUGCCGCCGUGCGCUCGUGCUGGCCGCCACCCUCGCAGACGACCCGGCGUCGAACGUAUCAAAGCACGUGCGGAGGAUCAUGGAAGAUGCGGUGGCGAAGUACAACUUCGUGCUGCAGCCCUCCGACUGGGACGACCUUGUGUACUUCCUGCGCACCUACGGCGGCCGCAGCGAGGCGAGCGCGCUUCGUGUGACGGAGACGAUGCACCAGCUCUUCGCGCGUCGCCCGACGACCGACGAAGGGACGCAGCUUAAGUGGGUGGAGGAUCUGAAGGCCCUUGGCGGGGCCCCGUCCGUGGUUUCGCUGGAGGGUUUGUCCUCUACCUACCUGGGUCGCGUGCCUGCCGUGGUGAUGGACUAUCUCUGCCAGCUGCUCGAGAGCCCGCAGACGGGCGAGGCGCUGUUACGGCAGACCCUCAAGGCCGGCCGCACCGUGCUCGUGGUGGCUGACCUGGCGCUGCUAAAGAGCAUCUCGCCGCAGCUGCAGACACGUCUGGCGAAGCCGCCAAAGGAUGUGACGCAGGGGCACAAGGAGCAGUAUCUGGCCACCGCCACAGUGUGGCUCUCCGUCAUGAGCUGCCGCCUGCAGGAGACGGCGCUGCUAGAAACCAUCAUUGACCAGCAGAGCCGCACCCUCAACAACUCGCAAUCCGCCAUGGUGCAUCGCUGCGUCUGUGAGUCGAUGGCAGAAAUCAGCCGCAACACGCAUAUUCGCGGCUCGCCGAAGCUCGACGAAUUUGUGGAGAAGUGCCUCAAGCAGGCGAUUCAUUCCGGCUCCUACAUCAAGAAGAAGGCGCACGCGUGGGGCCUCGUCGGCGUCAUCAAGGGCUUGGGCCUGACCGCGCUGCGCCGCUACAACGUCAUGGGCAUUCUGCGCAAGUCAGCCCAGGAGAAGCAUGUGGAACGGUCGGGCGUGAUGGUGCUGUUGGAGGUGCUGUGCAGCGAGAUGUCCCCCCUCUUCGAGCCGUACGCGCUGUCGAUGGCGACGGAACUGCUGGAAGCUGUCGCGGACGCCGACCCGAACAUCUCCGAGUGCGCCGAUGACGCCGCCAAAGAGUUGAUGGCGAAGCUGUCCGGCGUGGGUCUCCGCCAGCUGAUCCCGCGGCUGGUGGAGGGGCUCGCCUCGGACUCGGCGAAGAAACGCGUGCCGCCGCUGAACUUCAUCGGCUAUGUCGCGUUCUGCUCCCCUAAGCAGCUCGCUGCUGCGCUGCCGGAGAUCAUGAAGCACAUUCGCUGCUGUCUGUUCGACGUGAAUAACGCCGUCUCCGUGGCGGCCUCGAACGCGCUGCGCCGCGUCGCCGGUGUCGUCUCGAACCCCGAGAUACAGGAGCACGUGGAGCUCAUUCUGAACGCGAUGCGGUCGCCCAGCACGGAGACGGAGUCGGCGCUUGACGCGCUGCUCUACACGCGCUUUGUGAAUAUGGUCGACCCCGCCUCGCUGGCCCUCAUCAUUCCGGUGCUCUCGCGCGGUCUCGGUGUGCAGGUGGCGCGCACGCGGCCCAAGGCGGCGCAGAUUGUGGCGGCAAUGGUCAGCCUCGUGAGCGACCCGCGCGCGCUGCUGCCCUACACAGAGGAGCUGGUGCGGCUGCUGGAGGAGGCCUCGCAGGACCCGUCGACGGAGGCGCGCACGACGGCGGCCAAGGCGAUUGCCGCGCUCGCCUCCGCCAUCGGCGGCAACCUCAUUGAUGAGAUCUGCCAGUGGGCCUUCAGCGUACUGCAGCGCGUUCAGUCUGGCACGAUUGAGAAGGCCGGCGCGGCGCAGGUGUUCGUCGAGGUGGUGAACGCGUGUGGGGCGGAGCUGCUGAAGCUGUACUUCCCGAAUAUCCAGACCGGCAUGACGGACGAGCGGCCACCAGUACGGGAGGGCUUCCUCUACGUUAUGGUGUACGCCCCGUCCACGCUUCAGACGGAGACCUUCCAGGACUUCUUGCCUAUUUCUCUGCCGUGGGUGCUCGAGGGCCUCUCGCACUUUUCCGAUCGCGUGCGCGACGUGGCGCUGGCGGCGGGCGACAGCGUCGUCUCCCUCUAUGGCACGCGCAACUUGGAGCUCGUUCUGGGCCCGCUGCUAGACGGUGUAACCAGCGAGGUGACGACGCUGCGGCAGAGCUCGCUGCAGCUCUCCGCGAAGCUCAUGCUUCACCUUGUGGCGCACAUUAAAAAGAAGAUGCGCAUUCAGGUGGCCAUGGCCGACGCGGACGCGGAAACGCGCGCCGAGCUGGCAAGCGCGAUGGACGCGACAACGGUAGGCAACGAGGGCGACGUCGCAGCGGCGAUCGGCGAAGGCGGCGAGGACGGUGCCAUCCUCACGAUGGAGGCGGCGCGCGACGUGGAGAAGCGAGGUGUGUCGAUCCUGGGCUCCCUCGAGGAGAUGCUCGGCACGGACAACCUCGUACGCAUGCUCUCGGCUAUCUUCUGCGGCCGCCACGAGCACAGCGCGAACGUGCGUACCGACGCGAACAUGGCGUGGCAGGCGUGCGUGGCGAGCAUACGUGCGGCGGUUAACAAGAUCUUCGACGGCCUGGCGCUGCUGCUCGUGCGCUUCGCAUCUUCUGAGAACCCGGACUGCGUGGAAGUGGCUGAGAAGACGAUCGAGUUCACGAUCCGCAUGAACGAGACGAUUGAGCGCUUCGUGGACGCGUUCUGCAGCAUGUACAAGUCGGACAACCGCCGUGUGAAGCUUGGCUCACUCGUGUGCCUCGGCACCGUCGUCCAGUUUGCGGACCCGCGGCGGCUGGUCAGCAUGGGUGGCCAUAUCGUGGGGUGCGUGCUGCCGGGGAUGCAGGAGCGCGACGCUGUGCAGGAGGCGGCCCGAGAGGUGUUUGCGCGCGUGUCGAAGCUGCUCGGCCCGCGCCUCAUCGAGAGCGCCGUGGAGGCGCAGCUCACGACGAGCGUGCGUGGCGUGGUUGAGGUGGUGAAGGUAAAGCCGGCGGUGGCUCUGGCGCUGGUCUUCAAGCACCUGAGCUCCCUGGAGACGCACACGAACCAGAACGUCGAGCUGCUCGACGCGAUCCUCGACGUCGAGGAAGCCCAAGAAGAGAUGCGCCGUUACCACGACGACAUGGUGCGCCUGCUGCUCCAAUUCUGCGUGGAGGCGCUAGACGAUGCGCAGGAGCUCAUGAACAAGUACGUGAUGCUCGCCCCACGUGAGUUCGAGAUGAUACCAGUCGAGGCUUUCACAAAGGCGAUGAACGUCCCAGGGAGGCGCCAUGGGGCGCUGAUGGCGGCCACAGCGUACGGCCUUGGAACGGACCUCGACAACGUCGACGGUAUCACCUCCGUUUUCCGUGCCCUCAUCGAUGCCCUUGGCGACGAUACCGAGGCCACGCGCAGCUUCGCCGUCCGUGCGAUACCGGAGCUGCUCAACGCUCUCGAGGAACGCGUUCUGGACACGCUCGAGGACGAGGAGCGUGAAGACAUCAUGACGAGCAAGCGCGCGGCAGGCCGCUACCUGCUGCAGUUUCUCAACCCGUUCCAGACCACGCUGGUGGCCACGGCGCGCGCGUUCAUCAGUAGCAGCACCCCGGAGUUCACUGUACUGGGCGAGGGCGAGCCGCGUCUCUUCGACGUGCUCAUGACCUUCUACAACCGCGGCCUUGACUACGGCACUCCGCAGCAGAAGGUCGAGGCGGUGGAGUGCAUCCAGGACCUCAUGCGCUUCGCCCCACGCGCGAUCAGCGCAGCAGCGGCCAACACGGUCGCCGGUCGCUGUUCCAAGGUGCUCUUCACGCGCAACGAGGGAUCCGUUGUGCUUGCGCUGGUGCGUCUGUGCCUGCAGCUCAUGAACUACCCCGCCAGCGGCAAGGAGAAAAUGGUGGAGGGCACGAUGGCGCUCGCCAUGUUCAACGCCGCCCUGUGCGACUCGGGCGAGGCGCGUGUGCUGGCGCUGCACGUUGCGAUUCAGUUGCUGACGCGCUCGGAGAAGUACGCCGACCUCAUCCUCGGAACGGUCGUGACCAAGAAGAUGGCUGUCGACUCGACACUGCUGCGCACUGUAAUGUGCCGCUUCAUCAGCGUGGUGCUGCGCUACGCCAAGUUCACGAAGAAAUUUCCGCACAUUCCGAAACUGUUGGACUUGGUGCGUCCCAUGUGGGAGGCGCCGGAGUCUCCUGGGCUGGCGGCGGCCGCCGGUGUGGCCGUGGGUGCGCUAUGCAUGUCCGAGAGCAUUCCUGAGGACGUCGUCGGCGACAUCAAGGAGCGUGCGCUGUCCUGCACGAUGACGAAGGGGACGCAAGUGCUGGCUGGCUACGCCCUCGUCUACUCCCUCGUCAAGUGCGCGCCGCAGCGCACGGAUCAGGCCUUCCUCUCCGCCUCUGCCGAGCACCUGCGUUCGGCAGCCAGCUUCGGCGCCGCUGACAAGCUCACGUCCUUGUGGAUGCUGCGUGCGGCGGCUGCGGUGGCGAGCACCGGCUGCGUGCCGGCGGCCACCUUCAAGAUCGAGGCCUUUGUGCCUGUGCUGCGCCGCGUGAACCAGGCAGAUGAGCAGCUGAUGAGUAGUGCACAGUACUUCCGCGAGUGCGUGACGGCUGCGUACCCGGCAUCGGCAAGCGCGCUGGAGGGAAUGCCGGGCGAGUACAGCACGCAGUGGAACUCGAUCGGCGCCUUCGACGCCGAUCUCGAUGACGAGGUAGAGGCCGAUGUGACGCUGUAGGACGCGUGCAAUCGCCUGUCAGAGAGAGAGAGAGCGGCGGCGGCGGCUGUUGUUAAAAGGGUGCAUAAUGGUGUGCCGCCACUAUAGUUGACGUGUUGCGCUUAAGGCGAAGGGGGCGCACACGGGGCACACCCAAGCACGCGCGUGACCGUAUCUGCGUGUGCAUAAGCUAAAGACGCCUUGCAAGGAAAC